Molecule: ribosomal RNA, 498 nt
Filed under: uncultured bacterium
Lineage: Bacteria
Description: bacterial SSU rRNA
Rfam family: Bacterial small subunit ribosomal RNA
Source: RNAcentral
AGGGUUCGAUUCUGGCUCAGGAUGAACGCUGGCGGCGUGCUUAACACAUGCAAGUCGAACGGACAGAGGGAGCUUGCUCCCAAAGUUAGUGGCGGACGGGUGAGUAACGCGUGGGUAACCUGCCCUAUGCAGGGGGAUAACAUUUGGAAACAAAUGCUAAUACCGCAUAACCUAAGAGUUUCGCAUGAAACACUUAGCAAAGAUUUAUCGGCAUAGGAUGGACCCGCGUUGGAUUAGCUAGUUGGUGAGAUAAUAGCCCACCAAGGCAACGAUCCAUAGCCGGCCUGAGAGGGUGAACGGCCACACUGGGACUGAGACACGGCCCAGACUCCUACGGGAGGCAGCAGUGGGGAAUAUUGCACAAUGGGCGCAAGCCUGAUGCAGCGAACCGCCGCGUGAAGGAUGAAUGUCUUCGGAUUGUAAACUUCUAUCAGCAGGGAAGAAUACCAUGACGGUACCUGACUAAGAAGCCCCGGCUAACUACGUGCCAGCAGCGGC